RNAcentral lists this ribosomal RNA (253 nucleotides) under uncultured bacterium. Its description in RNAcentral is "partial 16S ribosomal RNA". It matches the Rfam family "Bacterial small subunit ribosomal RNA", at positions 524 to 776 of the family's 1533-position model. The record is from RNAcentral.
UACGGAGGGUGUAAGCGUUGUCCGGAUUUAUUGGGUUUAAAGGGUGCGUAGGCGGCCCGUUAAGUCAGUGGUGAAAUCCCAGGGCUCAACCCUGGAACUGCCAUUGAUACUGACGGGCUUGAGUUCGGUUAAGGCGGGCGGAACUGGUGGUGUAGCGGUGAAAUGCAUAGAUACCACCAAGAACCCCGAUUGCGUAGGCAGCUCGCUGAGCCGAAACUGACGCUGAGGCACGAAAGCGUGGGGAGCGAACAGG